CACAGGCCCUAUCACUUCCACAACAAGUAAAAGAAACAUCAGACAGAUAUUAAUCCCACAGCCACAGAUUAGAAACCACCACGAAGACGGAGCACAAGGUGAAGGGUGGACUCCUUCUGAAUAUUGUAAUCAGCAAGGGUCCUUCCAUCCUCCAACUGCUUCCCUGCAAAGAUCAACCUCUGCUGGUCCGGUGGGAUACCUUCUUUAUCCUGAAUUUUUGCCUUCACAUUAUCAAUGGUAUCAGAGCUCUCCACCUCAAGGGUAAUUGUCUUCCCAGUCAAGGUCUUCACAAAAAUCUGCAUACCACCACGAAGACGCAACACAAGGUGAAGGGUAGACUCCUUCUGGAUGUUGUAAUCAGCGAGGGUCCUUCCAUCUUCCAGCUGCUUUCCGGCGAAGAUCAACCUCUGCUGAUCUGGGGGAAUACCUUCCUUAUCCUGGAUCUUGGCCUUAACGUUGUCGAUUGUGUCAGAACUCUCCACCUCAAGGGUAAUAGUUUUACCAGUGAGGGUCUUCACGAAGAUUUGCAUACCACCACGAAGACGCAACACAAGGUGAAGGGUUGACUCCUUCUGGAUGUUGUAGUCAGCUAAGGUGCGGCCAUCUUCAAGCUGCUUUCCGGCGAAGAUGAGUCUCUGCUGGUCUGGUGGGAUUCCUUCCUUGUCUUGGAUCUUAGCCUUCACGUUGUCGAUGGUGUCAGAGCUUUCAACUUCGAGAGUGAUGGUCUUACCGGUGAGGGUCUUCACAAAGAUCUGCAUACCUCCACGAAGACGGAGGACGAGAUGAAGGGUAGAUUCCUUCUGGAUAUUGUAGUCGGCGAGGGUACGACCGUCCUCAAGUUGCUUUCCGGCGAAGAUAAGUCUCUGCUGGUCCGGGGGAAUUCCUUCCUU
This 890-nucleotide long non-coding RNA is filed under the name Cicer arietinum (chickpea). Its description in RNAcentral is "long non-coding RNA (CARI_LNC001064)". Lineage: Eukaryota; Viridiplantae; Streptophyta; Magnoliopsida; Fabales; Fabaceae. The record is from RNAcentral.